UGCAUGACAAAGAAGACAUGGAAACAGUGUA
RNAcentral lists this non-coding RNA (31 nucleotides) under Rattus norvegicus (Norway rat). The record is from RNAcentral. Lineage: Eukaryota; Metazoa; Chordata; Mammalia; Rodentia; Muridae.